GGGCCCGCACAAGCGGCGGAGCAUGCGGAUUAAUUCGAUGCAACGCGAAGAACCUUACCAAGGCUUGACAUGAACCGGAAAUACCUGGAAACAGGUGCCCCGCUUGCGGUCGGUUUACAGGUGGUGCAUGGUUGUCGUCAGCUCGUGUCGUGAGAUGUUGGGUUAAGUCCCGCAACGAGCGCAACCCUCGUUCUAUGUUGCCAGCGCGUGAUGGCGGGGACUCAUAGGAGACUGCCGGGGUCAACUCGGAGGAAGGUGGGGACGACGUCAAAUCAUCAUGCCCCUUAUGUCUUGGGCUUCACGCAUGCUACAAUGGCCGGUACAAAGGGUUGCGAUACUGUGAGGUGGAGCUAAUCCCAAAAAGCCGGUCUCAGUUCGGAUUGGGGUCUGCAACUCGACCCCAUGAAGUCGGAGUCGCUAGUAAUCGCAGAUCAGCAACGCUGCGGUGAAUACGUUCCCGGGCCUUGUACACACCGCCCGUCAAGUCACGAAAGUUGGUAACACCCGAAGCCGGUGGCCUAACCCCUUGUGGGAGGGAGCUGUCGAAGGUGGGACUGGCGAUUGGGACU
Molecule: ribosomal RNA, 569 nt
Filed under: uncultured bacterium
Lineage: Bacteria
Description: bacterial SSU rRNA
Rfam family: Bacterial small subunit ribosomal RNA
Source: RNAcentral